This 21-nucleotide non-coding RNA is filed under the name Caenorhabditis elegans. Lineage: Eukaryota; Metazoa; Nematoda; Chromadorea; Rhabditida; Rhabditidae. The record is from RNAcentral.
UGCAUGUUUGUAUUUUCUCAA